RNAcentral lists this ribosomal RNA (518 nucleotides) under uncultured bacterium. RNAcentral's name for it is "bacterial SSU rRNA". It matches the Rfam family "Bacterial small subunit ribosomal RNA", at positions 29 to 524 of the family's 1533-position model. The record is from RNAcentral.
AGCGAACGUUAGCGGCGGGCCUAACACAUGCAAGUCGAACGCGAAAGGUCUUCGGACUGAUUAGAGUGGCGCACGGGUGAGUAACACGUAGGUAAUCUACCCUUUGGCGGGGGAUAACGUUCCGAAAGGAGCGCUAAUACCGCAUAAGACCACGGAGUCUCCGGACGCUGUGGGAAAAGGUGGCCUCUUCUUGAAAGCUAUCACCGGAGGAUGAGCCUGCGUCCCAUCAGCUAGUUGGUAAGGUAAUGGCUUACCAAGGCAAAGACGGGUAGCUGGUUUGAGAGAAUGAUCAGCCACACUGGCACUGGAACACGGGCCAGACUCCUACGGGAGGCAGCAGUGAGGAAUAUUGGGCAAUGGGCGAAAGCCUGACCCAGCCACGCCGCGUGAGUGAUGAAGGCCCUCGGGUCGUAAAGCUCUGUGGAGAGGGACGAAAAACCUGGGGUCUAAUAGGCCCCGGACUUGACGGUACCUCUUUAGCAAGCACCGGCUAACUCUGUGCCAGCAGCCGCGGUAAA